UACGUAGGGGGCAAGCGUUGUCCGGAAUCAUUGGGCGUAAAGAGCGCGUAGGCGGCCCAGUAAGUCCGCUCUGAAAGUCAGGGGCUCAACCCCUGAAUGCGGGUGGAUACUGCUGGGCUAGAGUCCGGAAGAGGCGAGUGGAAUUCCUGGUGUAGCGGUGAAAUGCGCAGAUAUCAGGAGGAACACCGAUGGCGAAGGCAGCUCGCUGGGACGUUACUGACGCUGAGACGCGAAAGCGUGGGGAGCAAACAGG
This 253-nucleotide ribosomal RNA is filed under the name uncultured bacterium. RNAcentral describes it as "partial 16S ribosomal RNA". It matches the Rfam family "Bacterial small subunit ribosomal RNA", at positions 524 to 776 of the family's 1533-position model. The record is from RNAcentral.